CCUACGGGAGGCAGCAGUGAGGAAUAUUGGUCAAUGGGCGAGAGCCUGAACCAGCCAAGUCGCGUGAAGGAUGAAGGUUCUAUGGAUUGUAAACUUCUUUUGUCCAAGGGUAAAGGAGUCCACGUGUGGAUUUUUGCAAGUAUCGGACGAAUAAGCAUCGGCUAACUCCGUGCCAGCAGCCGCGGUAAU
This 189-nucleotide ribosomal RNA is filed under the name uncultured bacterium. RNAcentral describes it as "partial 16S ribosomal RNA". It matches the Rfam family "Bacterial small subunit ribosomal RNA", at positions 338 to 524 of the family's 1533-position model. The record is from RNAcentral.